This 352-nucleotide unclassified non-coding RNA is filed under the name Hevea brasiliensis (rubber tree). The record is from RNAcentral. Lineage: Eukaryota; Viridiplantae; Streptophyta; Magnoliopsida; Malpighiales; Euphorbiaceae.
GGAGAGAGAAAGACCGGCCUUUGCUAUAAGUGGCGAUUCUCUAUUUUAUGUGAAGGACCGGUUUUUGCGCUUCUAUGAGUUCUCCACUCAAAAAGAUUCACAGGUCAUCCCGAUUCGAAGGCCUGGUUCCACUAGCUUGAAUCAGAGCCCAAGGACCCUUUCAUUUAGCCCUACUGAAAACACCAUUCUUAUUUGCUCAGAUCUGGAUGGGGGGUGUUAUGAAUUUUACACCAUUCCUAAGGAUAGCUUUGGUAGAAGCGAUGGCUUCCAAGAUGCAAAGAGAGGACUUGGAGGAUCGGCAGUGUUUGUGGCUCGGAAUAGGUUUGCCGUGCUUGAUAAAAGUCACAACCAA